Vollenhovia emeryi is the source of this 1531-nucleotide long non-coding RNA. RefSeq lists it as uncharacterized. Lineage: Eukaryota; Metazoa; Arthropoda; Insecta; Hymenoptera; Formicidae. The record is from RefSeq and is a predicted model, not a curated record. The transcript is spliced from 3 exons.
AAGCAUUAAAAUGUCUGAGAACCGCAUAUUAAAAGUUACAGCGGAAAAUUUAUUAGUAAAACCAGUAUUCGUCCUGAAGCAAAAAGAAAAUGUGUCGACUUAAUGAGUUAAGAGUUUUAUUAUCAACUCAGUGGACAACAGCAUUCAAUAUCAACGUGAGAUCAGCCGUCAAAUAAGUUUAAUGUAAAAUACUGAAAAUGUAAAAUGUCAAUUAGAGAAUUCUGCCUGAUCGUGCCAUCGUUUACUUUAUUUUGAUUGUCAAAGUCGUUCGGUCUACGACAUCGAGCGUCGGGUAUGCCUGUAUUAUACGUUCGUGGCUUUCGAAAAAGAUUCUAGCAUUAUUAUACGAACUCUGACGUCGUCUAGAUAAAACUUCUAGAUAAAACGAAAUAAAAAUGGACAGUGUUCUAGCAUUAAUAACAUUGUUUAACAGGAGAAUUUCUUCCAUCGCACGUCUUAAAAUUGUCGUUACAAAAUAUAAGCUACGUUUAUAGAGGCUUCGAUCAAUUUUGACUCAAUUUGGUGCGUUAAUUUUGUAUUUUCACGACCACUGUGACUGUAUUACAAUCAAUUAGAAAGUUUAUGUUACUAAUCGGAAAGAUGAGAACUUUGACAUUUUCACUAAACAUUUUCACUAAAAGUUCUUUCAUAAAGAUUUCAUAAAAUUGAAAACACUUUUAAACUCGAGGCUGAUAAUAUUGUUAACAAUUAUAUCGAGCUCGCACGAAAUUAAUUCAGAAAUUUAUUCGCGAAGGAGAGAAAACGCUCGCGAUAAGACUUAUCGCGGUUGAACUCCCGACCAGGCCGGCAAUCAGGGGUCACCCCAGGAUGGAAUACUACGUGCUCACGAUCUUCCAGAGUCAGUUCCCGAGGCCAACAAUACGAGUAAUAUUUUAACGAAUUUUGAAGCAUAAGAGAUCUUUUCUCCUCGUCUUCCCUGCGAGGAAUUAAAUAAUUCUAAAUCGCACAGGAAUUGCAGGGGGAAACCGGACGAAUGUGUUGACAGUCGACACUCACCGUGAGGAACACCAUUGUUCGACAAUCUCUCGGAUACUCCGGUGAAUCGGGAAAUCAACAACGUAUCGGUCACUCGUAGGGCUAAUAUUGCGCGUCUGAGCGACGAUCGAGAAGAGGCAGAACUAAAGUCCGAGCGAUCACGAAGAGACGCCAGAAGAGAAUGCCUCUGACCCCACUCUUUCCCCACUACUGGACUCUUGGAUGGGUCAAGACUGCAAGCAAGUCAAUUGGCCUGAUGAACGAUUAAGUGUUUAACGCUGCCGGUACCUCAACUUCAACUAUAUUAGAUCGUGAUGUCAGAAGCGAAGAAUCGUUUGUUCUCCAGCACAAUUCCGCCUACGCCUGUCGGCGUUAAAACGCGGCCACGUUAAGACGACAAAUUGAAGGAAAUUUACAAUUAUUUAUGAAUUCAUGUACUGAAAGGAAGAAGUAAAUGGUACACCGCGUACAACGAUGUCACGUUCUAAUUGCAGCACGUUGGCUAAUUGCGAAAUAAACGUGUUCUUUGAAAUAA